RNAcentral lists this transfer RNA (55 nucleotides) under Cricetulus griseus (Chinese hamster). The record is from Rfam by way of RNAcentral. Lineage: Eukaryota; Metazoa; Chordata; Mammalia; Rodentia; Cricetidae.
UGGACUAUGGUUCAGUGGUAGAGCACUUGCCUAGCAGGCAUGAGGCAUAGUCCAG